AAGUAUAAGCACUCUUUUACUGUGAAACUGCGAAUGGCUCAUUAAAUCAGUUAUCGUUUAUUUGAUAGUACCCUACUACAUGGAUACCUGUGGUAAUUCUAGAGCUAAUACAUGCGCAAAACCCCGACUUCGGAAGGGGUGUAUUUAUUAGAUAAAAAACCAAUGCCCUUCGGGGCUCCUUGGUGAUUCAUAAUAACUUCACGAAUCGCAUGGCCUUGCGCCGGCGAUGGUUCAUUCAAAUUUCUGCCCUAUCAACUUUCGAUGGUAGGAUAGUGGCCUACCAUGGUGGCAACGGGUAACGGGGAAUUAGGGUUCGAUUCCGGAGAGGGAGCCUGAGAAACGGCUACCACAUCCAAGGAAGGCAGCAGGCGCGCAAAUUACCCAAUCCCGAUACGGGGAGGUAGUGACAAUAAAUACUGAUACAGGGCUCUUUUGGGUCUUGUAAUUGGAAUGAGAACAAUCUAAAUCCCUUAACGAGGAACAAUUGGAGGGCAAGUCUGGUGCCAGCAGCCGCGGUAAUUCCAGCUCCAAUAGCGUAUAUUAAAGUUGUUGCAGUUAAAAAGCUCGUAGUUGAACCUUGGGCCCGUCCUGCCGGUCCGCCUCACCGCGAGUACUGGUCCGGAUGGGCCUUUCUUUCUGGGGAAUCCCAUGGCCUUCACUGGCUGUGGCGGGGAACCAGGACUUUUACUGUGAAAAAAUUAGAGUGUUCAAAGCAGGCCUUUGCUCGGAUACAUUAGCAUGGAAUAAUAGAAUAGGACGUGCGGUUCUAUUUUGUUGGUUUCUAGGACCGCCGUAAUGAUUAAUAGGGAUAGUCGGGGGCGUCAGUAUUCAGCUGUCAGAGGUGAAAUUCUUGGAUUUGCUGAAGACUAACUACUGCGAAAGCAUUCGCCAAGGAUGUUUUCAUUAAUCAGGGAACGAAAGUUAGGGGAUCGAAGACGAUCAGAUACCGUCGUAGUCUUAACCAUAAACUAUGCCGACUAGGGAUCGGGCGGGGUUUCUAUGAUGACCCGCUCGGCACCUUACGAGAAAUCAAAGUUUUUGGGUUCUGGGGGGAGUAUGGUCGCAAGGCUGAAACUUAAAGAAAUUGACGGAAGGGCACCACAAGGCGUAAACAACCGCUACCGCCGCAGCGACUCUGCGCCUAACAGCAGCCCGAAAGGGUGAUGUGGUGUGCCGAUUAAAUGCUAGUCCGGGCCCCGGCCCGGGCGACACGCUCAAAUUGCGGGAAACUCCUCAAGCUGCCAGCUACCAAGCCGCGCGCCGAAAGGCCGCGGUGGCCAGGGUAACGCCCUCGGGUACGGUGACAACGCCGGCAGAUACGUGGACGAUCCGCAGCCAAGCCCCUACGUCCCUUCGGGAUACGGGGACGGUUCAGAGACUAGAUGGGUGUGGGUUGGCGUCCGCGCCAGCUUAAGAUAUAGUCCGGUAUUGGGGGACAACCCCAGUAGCACAGGUCCCACCGGGAGCCUGCGGCUUAAUUUGACUCAACACGGGGAAACUCACCAGGUCCAGACAAAAUAAGGAUUGACAGAUUGAGAGCUCUUUCUUGAUCUUUUGGAUGGUGGUGCAUGGCCGUUCUUAGUUGGUGGAGUGAUUUGUCUGCUUAAUUGCGAUAACGAACGAGACCUCGGCCCUUAAAUAGCCCGGUCCGCGUUUGCGGGCCGCUGGCUUCUUAGGGGGACUAUCGGCUCAAGCCGAUGGAAGUACGUGGCAAUAACAGGUCUGUGAUGCCCUUAGAUGUUCUGGGCCGCACGCGCGCUACACUGACAGGGCCAGCGAGUACAUCACCUUGGCCGAGAGGUCUGGGUAAUCUUGUUAAACCCUGUCGUGCUGGGGAUAGAGCAUUGCAAUUAUUGCUCUUCAACGAGGAAUGCCUAGUAGGCACGAGUCAUCAGCUCGUGCCGAUUACGUCCCUGCCCUUUGUACACACCGCCCGUCGCUACUACCGAUUGAAUGGCUCAGUGAGGCCUUCGGACUGGCUCAGAGGGGUUGGCAACGACCGCUCAGAGCCGGAAAGUUGGUCAAACUUGGUCAUUUAGAGGAAGUAAAAGUCGUAACAAGGUUUCCGCAUCAAGUCAUGCCGGCUGGAACGCCCUUCCUUCCGCAGUGUACACUUAUCGAAGCCUUUGCAGCCACGCAAGUGGUAGGUCCAGACGACUCUAAACAAGUUGGCGCCGGAUGCAAGUCGCGCCCCCCGCUCCGGGGGGUGUCGGCGACACUUUUGAACUGCCGGGGACACCCUAAAGCCGAUCGCACCAACCUGCGCGGGAAACCGCGCCGGGGCCCAUGGACGCACCAUGGGGGACGGUAACAGCCGAUUCGGAUAGUUCUGCUGCGGCAGAGACCAUGGGCAAUCCGCAGCGAAGCCCCUACGUCCUCCGGGAUACGGGGAACGUUCACAGACUAAGUGGAAGUGGGUGGGACGCCGGUCCUGCUUAAGAUAUAGUCGGGCCCCCCGGGAGAACCGGGGGGGCAAGUACACUACCCGUUCCGUAGGUGAACCUGCGGAAGGAUCAUUACCGAGUGCGGGCCCUCGCGGCCCAACCUCCCACCCUUGUCUCUAUACACCUGUUGCUUUGGCGGGCCCACCGGGGCCACCUGGUCGCCGGGGGACGCACGUCCCCGGGCCCGCGCCCGCCGAAGCGCGCUGUGAACCCUGAUGAAGAUGGGCUGUCUGAGUACUAUGAAAAUUGUCAAAACUUUCAACAAUGGAUCUCUUGGUUCCGGCAUCGAUGAAGAACGCAGCGAAAUGCGAUAAGUAAUGUGAAUUGCAGAAUUCCGUGAAUCAUCGAAUCUUUGAACGCACAUUGCGCCCCCUGGCAUUCCGGGGGGCAUGCCUGUCCGAGCGUCAUUUCUGCCCUCAAGCACGGCUUGUGUGUUGGGUGUGGUCCCCCCGGGGACCUGCCCGAAAGGCAGCGGCGACGUCCGUCUGGUCCUCGAGCGUAUGGGGCUCUGUCACUCGCUCGGGAAGGACCUGCGGGGGUUGGUCACCACCACAUUUUACCACGGUUGACCUCGGAUCAGGUAGGA
RNAcentral lists this ribosomal RNA (3030 nucleotides) under Penicillium sp. IFB-E022. Its description in RNAcentral is "eukaryotic LSU rRNA". The stretch from base 1 to 2095 matches the Rfam family "Eukaryotic small subunit ribosomal RNA". The record is from RNAcentral. Lineage: Eukaryota; Fungi; Ascomycota; Eurotiomycetes; Eurotiales; Aspergillaceae.